CUCUGAAAUGUCUUUCCUCAUUUUCCAGGCGGGCGCCUGCAAUCAAAACAACAAAACAAACAAAAUUUUCUGCCCCAGUUUGCUAGGAAGAUUUGUAAGAGAAAUAGUAAACCACUUAUGCUAUUGAUGCAAUGAUGAGAGUAAGCUAAAGACUCGACUAGGAUGUGUGUCUCCUCUGAGUAAAACCAAGAAAUUUUGACUAGCAAGUGCAUCUGCUAAGAAUAGAAAUCUCUUGUGAGUAAAACCCAAAAAUUUUGACUAGCAAGUGCGCCUGCUAAGAAUAGAAGCUGAAUUACCCAAACUAGGAAGUGUGUCUCCUAGGGAUGUAACUUGAAUGAACCAAAACUAGGAAGUGCGUCUCCAAGGGGUAAAACUUGAAUAACUCAAACUAGGAAGUGCGUCUCCUAGGAAUGAACUUACAUGACCCGAACUAGGAAGUNNNNNNNNNNNNNNNNNNNNNNNNNNNNNNNNNNNNNNNNNNNNNNNNNNNNNNNNNNNNNNNGGGGUAAAACUUGAAUAACUCAAACUAGGAAGUGCGUCUCCUAGGGGGAAAACUUGAAUGAACCAAAACUAGGAAGUGUGUUUCCUAGAGAUGAACUUACAUGACCCGAACUAGGAAGUGCGUCUCCUAAGGGUGUAACUUGAAUGAACCUAAACGUGUGAAAUAAGUGAAUUUAUCCAGUUGAGGCAUUCUUGAUUGAUUGAGACAAAACGAUUCCCUCAAUACAGCUUAACUCCGUCAAGCCUGUACGCGAUGUGCAUCUCCUAGGAAUGAACUUACAUGACCCAAACAAGUAAGUGCGUCUCCAAAGGGUAAAAUUUUAAUUUAGGAAGUGCGUCUCCUAAAACGCAAUAUAUCCUACAAGACCAAAACUAGGAAGUGCGUCUCCUAGGAAUAAAACCUCAAUUUAGGAAGUGCAUCUCCUAAAACGAAAAUAUAACCUGACAGAGCCAUACUAAGAAGUGCGUCUCCUAGGGGUGAAAUUUCAAUAACUCAAAUUAGGAAGUGCAUCUCCUAGGAAUAAACUUAAAUGAACCAAAUAGGAAGUGCGUCUCCUAGUGGCAAAAUCUUAAUUUAGGAAGUGCUUCUCCUAAAACAAAUAUAACCUGAAGGACCCAGACUAGAAAGUGCGUCUCCUAGGGGGUAAAAUUUCAACGACUCAAACUAGGAAGUGCGUUUCCUAUGAAUAAACUUAAACGAACCAAACUAGGAAGUGCGUCUCCUAGUGGUAAAAUCUCAACGACUCAAACCAGGAAGUGUUUCUCCUAAAAAUGAAAAUAUAACCUGAAUGACCCAGACUAGGAAGUGUGUCUCCUAGGGGUGAAACUUCAAUGACUAAAACUAGGAAGUGCGUCUCCUAGAAAUGAAUUUGAAUAACCAAAGCUAGGAUGUGCGUCUCCUAAUAAGUAUAAUCUAAAAGCCCCUACUAGGAAGUGCCUCUCCUAACGGUAUAACUUCGUUGACUCCAACUAGGAUGUGCGUCUCCUAAGGAUGAAUUUGAUUAACUAACAUUAGGAAGUGCGUCUCCUAAAAAUAAAAAUAUAGCUUGAAAUAACCAGCCUAGAAAGUGCAUCUCCUAGGAGUAAAAUCUCAAUUUAGGAAGUGCGUCUCCUAAAACAAAAUAUAACUUGAAAUGCCCAGGCUAGGAAGUGUGUCUCCUAGGGGUGAAACUUCAAUGACUCAAACUAGGAAGUGUGUCUCCUUAGAAUAAACUUAAAUGAACCAAAUAGGAAGUGCGUCUCCUAAUGGUAAAAUCUCAAUUUAGGAAGUGCGUCCCCUAAACAAAUAUAACCAGAAAGGCCCAAACUAGGAAGUACUUCUCCUAGGGGUGAUGUGUGAUAUUCUUAAUAGCCUUCGUACAAGAGGAAUUGGGACAUUACACCUGGAAAAUACAAGCUUUGUUAUAAACAUAGCCUUCAUCAUUGUUUCAGACAAAGAAAACUUGUGAGUUUAAAACACGGUGGUUAGUUUGUGGCCUUGACCUUGAAGGCGGUUGCUUCUGCACUUGCUGAGGUAACUUUUAUUUCAACUUGGACGACCUUGAAUGUUGUCGACUACCCACUUUCUUUCAAACCUUAUCACAAGAAAACACCUCCGAUCCAUUCAAUCCCAAUAUCUUUUACCUGUUGCAUUAAGCUUAUGAAUUGACAUUUACUGAAUCUUGCAUUUCACAUGAAUCCCAAAGCAUUUUAAUUGCUAUCAACUUGGUGUGCAUAUUGUUCUUUCCUGACUUAUGCCGCUUUGAUGUGCUUGUCAGACUCGGCUUUGUUCAAUUGGAAAGCUGGUGGUAAAUUUUGAAGUUAUUUCUCACUUGUUUCGAUAAAACAGACUCAAAAGGGAUUCAAACAAGACAAGCGGAACAAAAUAAGGGGAAAAUGAGAAAAGAUGGUAUCAAACAAGCAAAAAUUAUUACCUAGGAAAAAGAACAAAGAAGUAACUAAGCUGUUUGAAGGCCAUCUCCACUGACCCAUGACAUGCAUUUUGGAUUAGACGACCUGAUCUCUCAAGCAAGUCUAAUAUUUAACUCUUGUUGUACCUCUUCGCUGUGAAACUGGGCUUCAGCGCUUCAAUUUUCCCAUCUGAUCCACAAUUCUCAAUCGACUUGUAGUGCCAUGAAGGGCGUUUACCAUCAAGCCUCUCUCAUUUUGUUCUUAUCUCAACUCACCAUCGCGUUACGAUGCCUAGAGGGUUUUCACCGAUAAGACUCUCUCAUUUUAUCAUUUUCUCUCUUUGCAAUGAGAAUAAGGUAUUACCCAUGAUGUAGAAAGAUCAUACUUUUACCACACACUUGAUUUAGCAUCCUCAAAGAUUGGUCAGAAGGUCUUUCUUUGGACCAUAGUGUAGGAUUUUGGACAGGGUUGGAAAGAAAGGGUGACAUAAAGGCUCAAAAUAAUUUAAGAUGAAAGGGUUCAAAAUAACAACUUUUGGAAUCAGGCCUUUCGGCAAAAUUAAAAAUUCUUCCCCAGUUUCUCGGAGUUUGGGGGGAUUAUUUUCUCUCUUUUUAUGGGGUUUCUAAGAAAAUCUGCCCCAGUAUUGAUUUUGGGGAAUUAUGAAAUAUUUUAUAUCGUGUGACCGAACCGUGAGGCUGCCUACGUAUCUUGUGGUGACAAGAAUCAGGUCGAACGUAGUUCAAACGGCAAAGUUGCUUGUUUUUUUUCUUUUCUAUCUUUUUGUUCUUUCUUUUUCUUCUUUUCUCUUUUCUUUUUUUCCUUUUUUCUUUUCUCCUUCUUUUUUUCCCUUUUUCUUCUUUUCUCUUUUCUUUUUUUCCUUUUUUCUUUUCUCCUUUUUUUUUCCCUUUUUCUUCUUUUUCUCUUUUUCCUUUUCUUUUCUUGUUCGUAAUUCCAUUUCUGAUUCCAAAAGAGGGGUAUGAAAUAAAAAAAAAUUAGGGCUCAAAAUGGGUAGCAAAGGAUAAAAGUGUUUGGGUAGCAAAAUAAAAUGCCUUUCGCCAUACCAAACUUAAAAGGUGACAAAAAUGGUGUUCAGAAGGAAAUAAACUCAAAGUCGCCACCUGACAUUGAAUUUCGGUGUGCCAGGCCACCGAUUCUUAAAAAAUAUUUUCCUUUUAAAAUACUUGGACUCAAAACUAAGUCCGCACCAGAGAUUCGGAUAAGGGGGUUCAUUUGACUCGGGGAGAAAGUGUUAGGCACUAGCCAUGUCCCCUGAAGGUCACCGUUGUGUACUCGAUCGAGCUGGCUUUUAAAAUAUUCAAAUUGAGGCAAAAACACGCAAAAAGAGACUAAACAAUCGAAGAGGCUCGAGGUCGUCCCCACCUAAUAAAGGAAAAACAAAAGAAAAAAUAAAGUACUAUUCUAUGCUUCCUCAAGUUACUUCGUCUUUGGCCUUCAUUUACAUUCACUUCGAGGCAUACCCCGGAUAAUUAUAUAUACAAACUUUACGGGGUAUUUCCCGGACAAAUUUAACUACGGAAACGACCUCUCCCAUAAAAUUGACAAAAAUCCUAAAGUUUGCCUACCCAGGUGUGGUUGGCAUAAACAUGCCAUUAGCGAACCCAAGUAAAUCAAGAUAAAACAAUAAGAUUAUUGCCCGAACCCCAUAGUUCAUCUCAAGCCCAACUCCGAUUAUCAACAUCAUCCCUUAUAGCACACACACUAGUGAAUUUAACCCAAUCACUCAAACUUAUGGAAUACAAUAAAGCUACAAAAGUAGCAGAAAUACUAUUAAGCCCAAACCUCUUUCUUGUUUCCAAAUAUGGUCCAUUUUAAUUCAAUUUUUAUAACUAAACCCCAACAACUAUAAAUUAAAUUAACUCUUAUUGCCCGAACCUCUUUCUUGUUUCCAAAUAUUGUCCAUUUUAAUUCAAUUUUUAUUACUAAACCCCAACAACUAUAAAUAAAAUUAACUCUUAUAUUCUUAGCUAAAGAAGUAAUGAUUCAAAGUAUGAUAUCAAUUCUGUUAAGAACACAUUAACGUACAAAUUAUAGUAUAAGCCAUAAUACCAUUUUGUAAAUCAAUCAAUCAGCAACACAGUUUGAGAAUAAAAAUGCAAGAAGGAAGGAAGAGAGUUAGACCUCAAAUUAGCAAAUUGUCGCCUUUGAUAAUUGGACCGAAAGCCGAACGACGUGUACGCUUAAACAAAUUUGAAAAUGAGUAAGGAACGGCUAUCGCACCCUCGAAACAAGAGCAGAACCAAUAAAUCGCACAACACCGGAGGACUCAAACUUAAACACGGCCACUAAAUACUCAAUCGAACUCCAUGUCUCAAGUCAAAAUCCGAAAACCGAAAUGAAGAAAUAGAGAUAUCUUCUUUUUUUUUGCUUUUUAUAUUGUUCUGUUUUGGAACUAAACUGAAACACAAAAAAAACAAUGGAGAAGCUGGAUGUUGGAAUGGAGUUGCAGCUGUUGUUGUUUCAUCGGAGAUGGACGACGUUUGGAGUGAAGUUCAGGUGGUCUGAUAGCUGGUCGAUGAAAUAGCAGCUGGCGGAGUUAUGGAUGGUCUUGCGGUGGCUGCUUUUGUGUCUUAGGGUUCAGGGAUGUUGUGAGGAAAGUAAGGCGCUGGUCGUUUGGUAUUGUUGGCGGCGAUUUGAUGAUGUUGGUCGGAGAUGGUCUUUUGGAGAGGUGUUGGAGAGAGGUCGUUUAUGGUGGUAUGAAGAAGAAAAAGAAGAAGAAGAGAUGAGAGGGAGCAGCGUCGGCUGGUUUCCGCCGUGAAGGGCUAUUUCGUGGCGGCUUCUGGUGUUAGGGUUUUGGUACUGAAGAAAGAGAUGAAGUAGCUCGCGUUUCGCUUAUUUCCUCCAUUGUUGUUUUGGUGUUAGGGUUUAGGUCUUGUAUUGUGUAAUGUGAAGAAGAUGAAGUGUAGGGUUUUUCUUUGAAGAAGAAUGGGUAUGGGCCAAGUCUUGUAGGGCUUGAAAUUGGGCCUCUUGCAAGAAUAUAAU
Molecule: long non-coding RNA, 5391 nt
Filed under: Nicotiana benthamiana
Lineage: Eukaryota; Viridiplantae; Streptophyta; Magnoliopsida; Solanales; Solanaceae
Description: long non-coding RNA (NBEN_LNC012809)
Source: RNAcentral